GACGAACGCUGGCGGCGUGCUUAACACAUGCAAGUCGAACGGAAAGGCCCUGCUUUUGUGGGGUGCUCGAGUGGCGAACGGGUGAGUAACACGUGAGUAACCUGCCCUUGACUUUGGGAUAACUUCAGGAAACUGGGGCUAAUACCGGAUAGGAGCUCCUGCUGCAUGGUGGGGGUUGGAAAGUUUCGGCGGUUGGGGAUGGACUCGCGGCUUAUCAGCUUGUUGGUGGGGUAGUGGCUUACCAAGGCUUUGACGGGUAGCCGGCCUGAGAGGGUGACCGGCCACAUUGGGACUGAGAUACGGCCAAGACUCCUACGGGAGGCAGCAGUGGGGAAUAUUGCACAAUGGGAGGAAGCCUGAUGCAGCAACGCCGCGUGCGGGAUGACGGCCUUCGGGUUGUAAACCGCUUUCGCCUGUGACGAAGCGUGAGUGACGGUAAUGGGUAAAGAAGCACCGGCUAACUACGUG
RNAcentral lists this ribosomal RNA (468 nucleotides) under uncultured bacterium. RNAcentral describes it as "partial 16S ribosomal RNA". It matches the Rfam family "Bacterial small subunit ribosomal RNA", at positions 28 to 507 of the family's 1533-position model. The record is from RNAcentral.